This 398-nucleotide ribosomal RNA is filed under the name bacterium enrichment culture clone ALO1_GLFRUDD03FW5KK. Its description in RNAcentral is "bacterial SSU rRNA". It matches the Rfam family "Bacterial small subunit ribosomal RNA", at positions 9 to 409 of the family's 1533-position model. The record is from RNAcentral.
GAGUUUGAUCGUGGCUCAGAUUGAACGCUGGCGGCAUGCCUUACACAUGCAAGUCGAACGGCAGCACGGGAGCUUGCUCCUGGUGGGCGAGUGGCGAACGGGUGAGUAAUGCAUCGGAACGUAUCCUGGAGUGGGGGAUAACGUAGCGAAAGUUACGCUAAUACCGCAUAUUCUGUGAGCAGGAAAGCGGGGGACCUUCGGGCCUCGCGCUCUUGGAGCGGCCGAUGUCGGAUUAGCUAGUUGGUGAGGUAAAGGCUCACCAAGGCGACGAUCCGUAGCAGGUCUGAGAGGAUGAUCUGCCACACUGGAACUGAGACACGGUCCAGACUCCUACGGAGGCAGCAGUGGGAUUUUGGACAAUGGGGCAACCCUGAGUCCAGCCAUGCCGCGUGAGUGAA